Molecule: transfer RNA, 84 nt
Filed under: Candidatus Beckwithbacteria bacterium CG2_30_44_31
Lineage: Bacteria; Candidatus Beckwithiibacteriota
Description: tRNA-Leu
Rfam family: tRNA
About the family: Transfer RNA (tRNA) molecules are approximately 80 nucleotides in length. Their secondary structure includes four short double-helical elements and three loops (D, anti-codon, and T loops).
Source: RNAcentral
GGCGCGGUGGCGGAACUGGCAGACGCGCACGACUCAAAAUCGUGUGGUUAACAAACCAUGUGGGUUCGAUUCCCUCCCGCGCCA